This 453-nucleotide ribosomal RNA is filed under the name uncultured Sphingobacteriales bacterium. RNAcentral's name for it is "bacterial SSU rRNA". It matches the Rfam family "Bacterial small subunit ribosomal RNA", at positions 927 to 1382 of the family's 1533-position model. Lineage: Bacteria; Pseudomonadati; Bacteroidota; Sphingobacteriia; Sphingobacteriales. The record is from RNAcentral.
AAGCGGUGGAGCAUGUGGUUUAAUUCGAUGAUACGCGAGGAACCUUACCUGGGCUCAAAUGUAUGUUGACGUAUUCUGAAAGGGAUACUUCUUCGGACAAUAUACAAGGUGCUGCAUGGUUGUCGUCAGCUCGUGCCGUGAGGUGUCGGGUUAAGUCCCAUAACGAGCGCAACCCCUAUCAUUAGUUGCCAUCAGGUCAAGCUGGGGACUCUAAUGAAACUGCCUACGCAAGUAGUGAGGAAGGUGGGGAUGACGUCAAAUCAGCACGGCCCUUACGUCCAGGGCUACACACGUGCUACAAUGGCCGGUACAAAGGGCAGCUACCUGGUGACAGGAUGCAAAUCUCCAAAGUCGGUCUCAGUUCGGAUCGGAGUCUGCAACCCGACUCCGUGAAGUUGGAUUCGCUAGUAAUCGCGCAUCAGCCAUGGCGCGGUGAAUACGUUCCCGGGCCUU